This 981-nucleotide long non-coding RNA is filed under the name Anas platyrhynchos platyrhynchos (common mallard). Its description in RNAcentral is "lncRNA (ENSAPLG00000023290.1)". Lineage: Eukaryota; Metazoa; Chordata; Aves; Anseriformes; Anatidae. The record is from RNAcentral.
AUGAAGAAAUGCAGAGGAGAGAGAAACCUGGCACAGAGCAAGACUAUCCAAAAGGCUUUCAGACAUCCCUGGAGGCCCCUGCACCUCUGGGUCCUACAUGAGCACAUCGCUGCUAGUUCCUGCAUUUCCCUUCAGCAGCACCAGCUCAAGCCUGGUGGAAUAGUGAAAUGUGAGUCCUUUUGCAAACCACGCGCUGUGAGCAGGCCCGUGUCAUCCACACACCUUCCUGUCUGGCUAGGUCAGGGACAGAAGCACCUGCCUGCCUGCUGGGGACAUUGUCGCCACAAAUCUGUGACUUUCCUGACCCUCAGCAGAUUUCUGUGCUCACCUGCAAGUUCUGCCUUGAUCCUUUUCUGUGCUUGGCUCCUGCACAUGAAAAGAGAGGCUCGAUUGCCCAAACACACAUUCCUCACCAACAGUUUACAUUAAUGUCUCUCUGCUUAUCCUGUAAUUGCAGUGCAUGUACUCCAGCUCUUUGCAUUCAUGUUUGUAGAAGUGGAUGUAUCUCGUGUGUACCUGUUUUAUCUAUCAUAGCGCCGAGAAAACAGAGACUCUUUGAAGUACACAUUUGGAAAGUGCAUGGCCAAACUGUCCAUAAACAUGCUGGCUAAUCACUUCACCCAGCAGUGAAAAGGGCUGCCUUAGUCUUAAGAUAUGUUGGAUGUAUGGUGUAUGCUGUGGAUGCAACUGCCUUAAAUUUCAAGAUCCAGAAGAUGGAUCAAGCUAGGAAGAUUGUUCUUAUAUGUAACUUCUGGUCUUUUGGUUUACAGUCAAUGCUAGUGUUUGGGGUACAAAAGAAUCAGCAGCAGUAGUUGGUUUUGAUCACACAAUCAGGCUGUCCCAAAGGUGGUCUUUGUCUUCAGUCCAAAAAUGUUGUCUGAAUAGUAGUGCAUUGAGUUACUACAUUGAAUUCAUAGACAACAUCAUUGAGUAGCUGCUGGGGUGAAUAAAAUGGCUUUCACAUGAAAUGAGGGAAUUGGU